This 1092-nucleotide long non-coding RNA is filed under the name Pogona vitticeps (central bearded dragon). RNAcentral's name for it is "lncRNA (ENSPVIG00000017707.1)". Lineage: Eukaryota; Metazoa; Chordata; Lepidosauria; Squamata; Agamidae. The record is from RNAcentral.
ACGAAUUCAAUGUAAGUCAUCCAUGUGCUCCAUCAUCAUUGAAACCAAUUUUCUCACCUCAAAAAAAUCACAGGGGCUGCUGAAAAUACCUCUGAUGGUUGAGCAACCCCAGGUCACAAAACAAAACAGAACAAACCCCUGCUAUGAACACAGACUCGUAGAAUUAUGGCGACGGAAAAGACACCUAGGUGACUCAUGGCACUAUACUUCACUGGCAGUUAUGGUCCUGGUUGCCUGAACUGAUGCACAAGCGAGUCACAGCUUUCUGGCCAGGGGAAGAAGAAAGGCACUCCAUGAUUGUAGACGCAGAAUCAAGCAUCUCUACAAAACUCCUCCUAGUGGCCAAGGUAAGCAUGACCGUGAUUACAGCGUACAUCUCACAGAUACAGGUAACCUUUCCAACGACUGGAUUGUCUGGUAAACCUACAGGUGAGAAGUGUUAGGUUUUUGAGAUAGUGGUCCAAAAAUUAACUUUCCCCAUCUUUGGACAAACCAAGAUGUCUUCCCCUGCAGCAGAGGAAACAGCUUGAUUUAUUCAGAGCCUGCUUUUUAGCUACACUGGAUCCCAACAGGUUACUGGGAACACAACAGUGUCUGGUCAGAAGCUGACAAAAUUCACAUCCAAAUCCUCCAUUACUCUCCAAAUGCCCAUCCAACCAAUGACCCACAAAUCAGCUUCCAACACCAAGCCACCCGGAGGUGGGGUGGGGGUGGCUUUCCCAGAGCCACCACUACAUCUAAUGAGGCUCCAAGGGAAAAGGAAGAUCUCCUUCUCCCUACUUUUUUUUCGGUCCAGCAUUACUGAAGCAGAAGCACAGUAGAAAGGUGCAAUCUAUAAUAUAGCCAUAUUGUGAAUCUCUCUGCCUCAGCUCUGUAUUUCUGGCGGCUGCCAGCUGGGAUGAGGAAGCACACAAAGUCCUGAACUCAAGAGAGAAAGCAGGUAAUCCUGAAUGUGAUGAUGGAAAGCUUACUUGGGAGGUGGGAUGGGAGUAUUUUCAUUGCCACUUUUGUGGUGCGCUGAUUGUGUAGCUGAGCCCCAGCAACGCACAUAAAACAUCUGAAAACAAUCACUGCCCACAGUCCUGCAAUGUA